RNAcentral lists this ribosomal RNA (510 nucleotides) under Acaulospora laevis. RNAcentral's name for it is "SSU rRNA". It matches the Rfam family "Eukaryotic small subunit ribosomal RNA", at positions 569 to 1078 of the family's 1831-position model. The record is from RNAcentral. Lineage: Eukaryota; Fungi; Glomeromycota; Glomeromycetes; Diversisporales; Acaulosporaceae.
AGCAGCCGCGGUAAUUCCAGCUCCAAUAGCGUAUAUUAAAGUUGUUGCAGUUAAAAAGCUCGUAGUUGAAUUUCGGAAUCUGUCCGUCGGUCGGGCUUCACUGUCCGUACUGGCGUGAUGGGUUUCUACCUUCUGAAUAACCGGCAUGUCAUUAAUUUGGUGCGUCGGGGAAGCAGAACUAUUACCUUGAAAAAAUUAGAGUGCUUAAAGCAGGCUAUCGCCUGAAUAGAUUAGCAUGGAAUAAUAAAAUAGGACGGCAUGGUUCUAUUUUGUUGGUUUCUAGGAUCACCGUAAUGAUUAAUAGGGAUAGUUGGGGGCAUUAGUAUUCAAUUGUCAGAGGUGAAAUUCUUGGAUUUAUUGAAGACUAACUUCUGCGAAAGCAUUUGCCAAGGAUGUUUUCAUUAAUCAAGAACGAAAGUUAGGGGAUCGAAGACGAUCAGAUACCGUCGUAGUCUUAACCAUAAACUAUGCCGACUAGGGAUCGGACGAUGUUAAUUUUUUAAUGACUCG